Small nuclear RNA from Otolemur garnettii (small-eared galago), 104 nucleotides. Lineage: Eukaryota; Metazoa; Chordata; Mammalia; Primates; Galagidae. The record is from Ensembl.
GUGCUCGCUUUGGCAGCACAUAUACUAAAAUUGGAACGAUACAGAGAUUAGCAUGGCCCCUGCGCAAGGUUGACACGCAAAUUUGUGAAGCGUUCCAUAUUUUU